ACGUAGGUGGCGAGCGUUAUCCGGAAUUAUUGGGCGUAAAGAGCGCGCAGGCGGUUGAUUAAGUCUGAUGUGUAAGCCUCGGGCUUAAGCGUGGAGGGGCAUUGGAUACUGGUGAUCUAGAGUGCAGAGGAGGAAGACGGAAUUCCAUGUGUAGCGGUGAAAUGCGUAGAUAUAUGGAGGAACACCGAAGGCGAAGGCAGCUUCCUGUACUGUAACUGACGCUGAGCCGCGAAAGUGUGGGGAUCAAACAG
RNAcentral lists this ribosomal RNA (251 nucleotides) under uncultured prokaryote. RNAcentral describes it as "partial 16S rRNA". It matches the Rfam family "Bacterial small subunit ribosomal RNA", at positions 525 to 775 of the family's 1533-position model. The record is from RNAcentral.